Non-coding RNA from Pelobates cultripes (western spadefoot toad), 271 nucleotides. The record is from the annotation of a GenBank genome assembly. Lineage: Eukaryota; Metazoa; Chordata; Amphibia; Anura; Pelobatidae.
AACACUGUUUCUAUGUAUAUAUAUAUAUAUGUAUUAAUUGGGUUAGCCCCCAAAAUAUUGUGACAUAUAAAAAAAGACAACUCUGUUCCGCAGAGUAGCUGUUGACAUUAUAGUUGCGCAGGAACUUUGUUGACUCUAGAGAACCUCGGGCAAAUUGCACAUCCCCGUGGCGGCGACUUUGCAUGCGGAUGUCAUCUGUAUCAACUUUCCAUGCUAGUUUCUGCGCCUACCAUGGUGACCACGGGUAACGGGGAAUCAGGGUUCCAUUCCA